CGAAACAACGCUUCCCGUACGAUCACCGAAGUUAAGCAACAUCGAGACUGGUCAGUACCUAGAUGGGUGAGCGCUUGGGAAUGCCAGAUUCUGUAA
Acanthosepion pharaonis is the source of this 96-nucleotide non-coding RNA. The record is from the annotation of a GenBank genome assembly. NCBI's taxonomy places the organism in Eukaryota, Metazoa, Mollusca, Cephalopoda, Sepiida, Sepiidae.